UUUUCCUCUUUUCCUUUAGGUGUUUGAAGAAAUGACAAAGUUAGAGAAUGUUUGUUUUUCUGUUGUCGUUUGAAUGGGCUGUACGCGGAAUUUAAGGGAUUGUGAAAAUGUCUACUUUUACUUGCUGAUGGAGUUAUUUAAAAGAUUGAAAAUGGAUGUCAAAACCUUAAACAAAUCAGUAACUUCUAUUGGAGAGGUCGAGCCUGAGGCUAAAGGCAUUGUGGCAUGUGGGUGUAAACUGCAUUCAUGGAAGGGCUAGAGAAAAUCUCAGUAGAGGAUCGACUGAUAUUUGAGUUUUAGGCAUAUUAUGGAAUGGAAACACAGUUUCAUGGAAGACCACGUCUCUUGGGAUGAAGAACUUUUUGUGCUCAAUGUCAUACAGCUUGUAAAGCCUUCAUGCCAUGGGGAUAGCCGAUGAAGACAGAGGGAACAACUCUGGGAUGAACUUGGAGCGAUUGUGAGACAGUGAGGAUGCAUAGCAUAAAGAGCCAAAAAUUCUUAAAGAGAUAUAGUCAGGUACCGUGUUAUUCAACUUCUGAAAUGGAAACUCCCAUUGCAAUAACAUGGAUGGAGUUCUAUUAAUCAAAUAAAUGGCUGUUAGUAUACAUUCUCCCCAAAAUGUUAAAGGAACUUGAGACUGAAAAUAUUGUACACGAGCUGUAUUCAAUAUGUGCUGAUGUUUCCUUUCAACAGCAGAGUUCUGUUGGGCACAUCGACACAUGAGUAUUGAUGUACCACUCCUUUUUUGUUCAAAAAAUUCAGUGAAUUUCAAUUCA
This is a long non-coding RNA of Cucumis melo (muskmelon), 776 nucleotides long. RefSeq lists it as uncharacterized. The transcript has 2 exons. The record is from RefSeq and is a predicted model, not a curated record. NCBI's taxonomy places the organism in Eukaryota, Viridiplantae, Streptophyta, Magnoliopsida, Cucurbitales, Cucurbitaceae.